UUGGAGGGCAAGUCUGGUGCCAGCAGCCGCGGUAAUUCCAGCUCCAAUAGCGUAUAUUAAAGUUGUUGCAGUUAAAAAGCUCGUAGUUGAAUUUCGGGGUCAAUUUGUUGGUCGUGCCUCGGUACGUACUGGCAAUUUUGAUUUCUCCCUUCUGAAGAACCAUGAUGUCAUUAAUUUGGUGUCAUGGGGAAUCAGGACCGUUACUUUGAAAAAAUUAGAGUGUUUAAAGCAGGCUCGCGCUUGAAUACAUUAGCAUGGAAUAAUGAAAUAGGACGUUUGAUUCUAUUUUGUUGGUUUCUAGGAUCGACGUAAUGAUUAAUAGGGAUAGUUGGGGGCAUUAGUAUUCAAUUGUCAGAGGUGAAAUUCUUGGAUUUAUUGAAGACUAACUACUGCGAAAGCAUUUGCCAAGGAUGUUUUCAUUAAUCAAGAACGAAAGUUAGGGGAUCGAAGACGAUCAGAUACCGUCGUAGUCUUAACCAUAAACUAUGCCGACUAGGGAUCGGAUGAUGUUAAUUUUUUAAUGACUCAUUCGGCGCCUUACGGGAAAC
RNAcentral lists this ribosomal RNA (548 nucleotides) under uncultured Glomus. RNAcentral describes it as "SSU rRNA". It matches the Rfam family "Eukaryotic small subunit ribosomal RNA", at positions 548 to 1098 of the family's 1831-position model. Lineage: Eukaryota; Fungi; Glomeromycota; Glomeromycetes; Glomerales; Glomeraceae. The record is from RNAcentral.